RNAcentral lists this ribosomal RNA (537 nucleotides) under Echinodera vitoensis. Its description in RNAcentral is "partial 16S ribosomal RNA". It matches the Rfam family "Bacterial large subunit ribosomal RNA", at positions 1819 to 2624 of the family's 2925-position model. Lineage: Eukaryota; Metazoa; Arthropoda; Insecta; Coleoptera; Curculionidae. The record is from RNAcentral.
GGCUUUUUGAAAAUAAUUUAAGGUCUGGCCUGCCCAAUGAUGAAGUAUUAAAUGGCCGCGGUAUUUUGACCGUGCAAAGGUAGCAUAAUCAUUAGUUUUUUAAUUGAAAGCUUGAAUGAAGGGUUUAAUGAGAAAAUAGCUGUCUCUAUUUAAAUUUUAUAGAAAUUUAUUUUUAAGUUAAAAAGCUUAAAUAUAUACUAAAGACGAGAAGACCCUAUAGAGUUUUAUAGUUUUAUGAGAUUAUUAUAUUUUAGAAUUUUAUAAUGAUUUUUCAGAAUUAUUUGGUUGGGGUGAUUUAAAAAUUGGUAGAACUUUUUAUUAAGGAUUUCAUUGAUUUAUGAGUUUUUGAUCCUUGAUUUGAGAUUAGCAGACAAAAUUACCUUAGGGAUAACAGCGUAAUUUUCUUUAGAGUUCUUAUUGAAAGGAAAGAUUGCGACCUCGAUGUUGGAUUAAAAUAAAUUAUUGGUGGAGAAGCUGGUAGGUUAAGGUCUGUUCGACCUUUAAAUUUUUACAUGAUCUGAGUUUAAACCGGUGUGA